UUUCUUUCAAUCAAUCCAAAUCAUUCAACAGUUCUUUCAUUGUACUAAGCAUAACAGAAGUUUACAAAAAAAGCACUGAUAGGAGUUAAAUACCAGCAAUCACAUACACAGCUGGUAAAAAGAAGAUAUACAGAGUUCCAUGGUUUUUAAGCUUCUGUUUUGCAGGAGAAGUGGGUCUGAGUUAAAAAUGGCUCAUCUUUCUUAUAACAGCAGCUCAGAGGAGAGAGUAUGCAGAAAUGCGAAGAUCAUGAAUGAUCAUUACAACAGCAUGCACUGGAUGUUUGGAAGAUUUCAACAGUUGCAUGUAAAAGGAAAGGAAUGGCGCUUUUAUAGUCCAUGAUGCCAGUCAUCUGUGUAUGGGUCUACAGAAAGUUGCAUGUAUGUCUUAACUUAAGUUCUUAUUCGCUACAUUCUUUAGAACAGUUGCAAGUCACUUUAUUUGAAAAAUAGACAUCUUGGUUGAAUUGGAAGCA
Cryptomeria japonica (Japanese cedar) is the source of this 473-nucleotide long non-coding RNA. RefSeq lists it as uncharacterized. The record is from RefSeq and is a predicted model, not a curated record. Lineage: Eukaryota; Viridiplantae; Streptophyta; Pinopsida; Cupressales; Cupressaceae. The transcript is spliced from 2 exons.